GUUUGAUCCUGGCUCAGAGCGAACGCUGGCGGCGUGCUUAACACAUGCAAGUCGAGCGCGCAGCCUUUUGUAGCAAUACAGAAGGUGGGCGCGUGGCGAACGGGUGCGUAACACGUGGAUAACCUUCCUUCAGGUGGGGAAUAACCCCGCGAAAGCGGGGCUAAUACCGCAUAACAUGACGAUGGCACAUGCCGUUGUCCUCAAAGCCGCAAGGCGCCAGAAGAGGGAUCCGCGGCCGAUUAGCUUGUUGGCGAGGUAAUGGCUCACCAAGGCAUUGAUCGGUAGCCGGACUGAGAGGUUGGCCGGCCACACUGGAACUGAGACACGGUCCAGACUCCUACGGGAGGCAGCAGUGGGGAAUCUUGCGCAAUGGGCGAAAGCCUGACGCAGCAACGCCGCGUGGGGGAUGAAGCUUCUCGGAGUGUAAACCCCUUUCGACCCGGACGAAUGCCCGCAAGGGUUUGACGGUACGGGUAUAAGAAGCCCCGGCUAACUACGUGCCAGCAGCCGCGGUAAUACGUAGGGGGCCAGCGUUGCUCGGAAUUACUGGGCGUAAAGGGUUCGUAGGCGGUGCGGCAAGUCGGGAGUGAAAUCUCUGGGCUUAACCCAGAGGCUGCUUCCGAAACUGCCGUGCUAGAGUGCGGGAGAGGCGAGUGGAAUUGCAGGUGUAGCGGUGAAAUGCGUAGAUAUCUGCAGGAACACCCGUGGCGAAGGCGGCUCGCUGGACCGCAACUGACGCUGAGGAAC
This 747-nucleotide ribosomal RNA is filed under the name uncultured bacterium. RNAcentral describes it as "bacterial SSU rRNA". It matches the Rfam family "Bacterial small subunit ribosomal RNA", at positions 11 to 754 of the family's 1533-position model. The record is from RNAcentral.